RNAcentral lists this ribosomal RNA (458 nucleotides) under uncultured bacterium. RNAcentral's name for it is "SSU rRNA". It matches the Rfam family "Bacterial small subunit ribosomal RNA", at positions 26 to 518 of the family's 1533-position model. The record is from RNAcentral.
AGGACGAACGUUGGCGGCGUGCCUAACACAUGCAAGUCGAACGUGGCUUAAGUUUACUUAAGUCUAGUGGCGGACGGCAGAGUAAUGCACAGGAACGUACCUCGAGGUGAGGGAUAGCCCUUCGAAAGAAGGGGUAAUACCACAUGUGCUCGCAAGAGCAAAGCCGCAAGGCGCCAUGAGAACGGCCUGUGUCCUAUCAGGUAGUUGGUGAGGUAAAGGCUCACCAAGCCUAUGACGGGUAGCUGGUCUGAGAGGAUGAUCAGCCUGAUCGGGACUGAGACACGGCCCGAACUCCUACGGGAGGCAGCAGUUGGGAAUUUUGCACAAUGGACGAAAGUCUGAUGCAGCGACGCCGCGUGGAGGAUGAAGGUCUUCGGAUCGUAAACUCCUUUACUUGGGAAUAAUUUAAUGAAGGUACCAAGUGAAUAAGCACCGGCUAACUCCGCGCCAGCAGCCGC